This 2146-nucleotide unclassified non-coding RNA is filed under the name Hevea brasiliensis (rubber tree). Lineage: Eukaryota; Viridiplantae; Streptophyta; Magnoliopsida; Malpighiales; Euphorbiaceae. The record is from RNAcentral.
UAUUAGCUACCAAUGCCUGAAUUAGUAAUAGUUGGUGCAAUAAUAUUUAUUUUGUCGUCCAUAUGAAAGUCCCAUAACAGGCUAUCUCACACAAUAAGGUAUGCUGAAACCUCAACUAAUUUGUUAUGUAAGAAUAAUACAUCCAGUGAAUAAUGAUCAUUCUUGAGUUCAAUAUGUUCUCUGACGGAUACAAGCUUGAAAAUUUUUUUUCCCGAACAGAACUUGUUUAUUGUCUAUUUCAAUUUCAUGCUCCCAUCUAAAAGGCUAAAACCUCUACACAUCAAAAUUGCCCACCUCAAAGCACAUAAUCUUAAAAAAUUCUAACAGGUUGAACUGAAUUUAGUAUUCAAAUAAAGCUGCAAACAGAAACGGCUGACAGACCAAGAUGCUUGAGUCAGCAAACUAAUAUUGCGUAAAUUCAAUAACAAAAAAAAAUUGCGGUGUAUUGAUACUUGUGAGGAUUCAAAUUGAACAAUUUGAUACAAAUAUGUGGAACAGAACUAACACAGCAUUUCCAAGGAUCGGUAGAUCAUGUUUUACAUAACCACCAAAUGUUCGGAUGAAAUAGCAGCAAUUCGUAGCUGCAUAUUCUUACAGACUAUAUAAACAUUUGGCAUUCAAGACACAAAUAGCCGACCAGGCAAUAAAAGGAUACAAAAGAAUAAUAAAUUAAUCAAUAUCUUAACAUCUCCCAGUGGGGCUAUACAACCAAUCUGUACUUAACAUUGCUUUGGAAAUUCAAGGUGAAAGAACUGUCAGGGCAGUCCAUAGUCUAACAAAUUGCAACAUCUACAAGUAAAGAAAGUAACAAUGGAACUCAACAACGUACCUACAUUUUGCCAUUACCAGAUAAUAUAGGUUGUUCCUCACAUGACCUGCAGAUAAGGCAUGCAAAAUUAUAAAGAGAAAAUUUGCAAUACUCAGCAUAUGUUAUCACAGGCUGAUGGGUAUUUUAUGUAGCAGACGCCACAACACAGUUUCCUUCCCACUUCCAUCUGACAAAUGGGCAUCCACUCUUUCCUUCUCACACCAUUCAUAAUGGCUUCCAAAGGAACUUAAAACAACCUCAAAUAAUGGGGGCUCCCUCGUUCAGAUACUUCCAACAUCAACCUAUGUAAAAUGAGCACAUGACUUUGAACUUAAAAGCAAUUAACAUGAACUCCCAAUCUAUUUGCUCUAGUAAUCUAGGAAUCUUUCAGUCAAAAAAAAAAAUCUAGGAAUCUAAAUAAAAUUCACAUCAAGUGCAUCCUUUAGCAAGAAGAGAUUAUUGUGUCAAGCAUUUUUAUGAGGUUUCCCAGUUGUAUGGCAAAGGUAUGCAUCAUAGAAGCCACACUGCAUUAAGUGUUUCUAAUUGGAUAGAGAACCUGAACUUUUCCACAUCUAAUGAAUCCAGAUCUAUACGUGGUAAUGGAUAACAUUGUUUUUGUCGACUUUUGAAAUCCCACCCAAGAGCAUCUCUUUUCUAGUUAUGAUAUCAUUUGUUCUAGAGGAUAUUCUGAAUUGACGGCACAACAAAUAGAAAUAGACAAUGAUAACUCCAGUAGCAAUUCAAGUGCAUAAUAUCUCAAGCAACAGAAUGGAUUAUAUGAACACAUGCCAGAUAAAGAGAGACACAUAAUAAGUUAAUAUCUAUGAACUUAGUUGAAAACAUCCAGCUUUCCUUCAAUCUCCUUACUUUAAUAAACUACCUCCCUCUCCAAUCAUAAAACUACAUUAAGAUAGCAGUGCAUGAAAAGCCCACAUGAACAUCAACAGUUAUGGGAAAAAAGAUUGGUAAGAUCAUCAAGGUCUAACUAGUUGCUAGAAAGAUCUACAUCUACGCCAACAAGAAGAGCAAUUACAGUAUUAUAAAGCUAGCAACCUCUGAAGGGCAAGGAAAUUCAAAAGAUAGCAGAUAACAAAAAGGAAAAAAAUGAAAAAGAUAAAAAAGUAUUAAAAACUAAAACUACAAAUAGAAUCAAUAGCAUGAUAAAUAAAGAAAAAAACAAUAUUAUGAACUCAACUAAAUAAACAAAAUAAGUUCAAUUACCUCACAGGUUCAGAAACAUAACAAGAAAAUAGCUGAGGUUGACAAUGCCAAAAUAUGAACCUCACAUAUACUUUAUCUGUGCAAAAAACACUAAAGACUUCAUAUUGCAGAAUCAAU